CCUACGGGAGGCAGCAGUGAGGAAUAUUGGUCAAUGGACGAGAGUCUGAACCAGCCAAGUAGCGUGAAGGAUGACUGCCCUAUGGGUUGUAAACUUCUUUUAUAUGGGAAUAAAAUGUUCCACGUGUGGGAUUUUGUAUGUACCAUAUGAAUAAGGAUCGGCUAACUCCGUGCCAGCAGCCGCGGUAAUACGGAGGAUCCGAGCGUUAUCCGGAUUGAUUGGGUUUAACGGGAGCGUAGGUGGAUUGUUAAGUCAGUUGUGAAAGUUUGCGGCUCAACCGUAAAAUUGCAGUUGAAACUGGCAGUCUUGAGUACAGUAGAGGUGGGCGGAAUUCGUGGUGUAGCGGUGAAAUGCUUAGAUAUCACGAAGAACUCCGAUUGCGAAGGCAGCUCACUGGACUGCAACUGACACUGAGGCUCGAAAGUGUGGGUAUCAAACAGGAUUAGAUACCCGUGUAGUC
RNAcentral lists this ribosomal RNA (460 nucleotides) under uncultured bacterium. RNAcentral describes it as "partial 16S ribosomal RNA". It matches the Rfam family "Bacterial small subunit ribosomal RNA", at positions 338 to 795 of the family's 1533-position model. The record is from RNAcentral.